Oryza sativa Indica Group (long-grained rice) is the source of this 204-nucleotide microRNA precursor. It matches the Rfam family "MIR812 microRNA precursor family". The record is from Rfam. Lineage: Eukaryota; Viridiplantae; Streptophyta; Magnoliopsida; Poales; Poaceae.
AAUAAGACAAACCAUGGGUUUCCGUGUCCAAAGUUUGACUGUCCGUUUUAUAUGAUUUUUUUAUAAUUAGUAUUUUCAUUGUUGUUAAAUGAUAAAACAUGAUUAAUACUUUAUGCGUGACUUGUCUUUUUAAUUUUUUUAUAAUUUUUUUAAAUAAGACGGACGGUCAAACGUUGGACACGGAAACUCAGAAUUUGUCUUUUU